Molecule: long non-coding RNA, 1373 nt
Organism: Osmia bicornis bicornis
Lineage: Eukaryota; Metazoa; Arthropoda; Insecta; Hymenoptera; Megachilidae
Exons: 3
Source: RefSeq, a predicted model, not a curated record
UACCUCAAGACUUCUAGUAGGCUGGUGCUCCCAACUGAAGAAGUAUGAAUGUGCAACACCUCUAGCAUCCCUGUAGGUAGCAUGUCGUACUCCUGAAACAAGUUCAUUUCAUUUUUUAUUUUUUUUUUUCAUUUUCAAAGAACAUUUAAUCACAACUAUAUUUUUAUAAACCAGUUCGCUUACUAUUUGCACAACUGCGUGGAUCAGGAAGAGCGAGUCGACGUUGAGCGUGUACAGCGACACCGACAAAAAGGUGAAAGGAGAGUUUUCAACGGUGAAUUAUCAUUUGAGAAAGAGAGAUGCUGCCACCGAUGAUGGUUCUCUCGCGUCGACGACAAGGAAAGGUGCGAGGGGAUUUUGCAACAGGUCGUUUUUUUUUCGUCCCGCUAACUUUCCUUGGAGGCUCCAUAGGCUUGCAACUUUCUAAAUCAGCUCCACGAUACCGGUGGAUGAUACUCACAAUUAAGGAGCAAAGUGCGCCUCUGAAUAGUAAUCACAAUUACACUACAACAUUCUAUAAUGCAAGAAAGUAAGGAAAAUGAUAGUAGAACACAAACUGCUACAUUGUAGAGAACAAUUUCAAGGAAAUUACGAAUGUGCAAUUACAAAAGAGUUAUGACAUUUCAAGAUAUGAAAAAAUAUUAGAAGCAACGAUUUUUAGUUUCCUGUACUGCAUGAAAAACUUGAUAAGAAUGACAAUGAAUUUGUAUUUAAAAUUCCACGCUGCUACAGAGUUAAUUAAGUCCCACUUUUAAUGGCGCUGCUUUCGCUAAAAAUCAGUGUCAGCGGUCGUUCACCUGGAUUGAAGAAAUGCUAAUACCAUCGCGGAAGAGGUAAAUCAAUUAUCAAACAAACGAUUUAAAAAAAAUCUCGUUUACCAAACAACUUAAACACCCCGAGCAAAGUUCAGUACACCAUGCUGUGUAAUUUGCCUAGUAUUCCUGCGGUUGAAGCAAUACGUCCAUUAAUUAAAUUAUAGUAAGGUUGUUUUUCAAUUAUCGGUUGACGCAACCGCGGGCUGCGAGUCUCGACGGAAGAAGAAUUUCUUUCGCUUCUAGUAUCCACAGAUUUAAUUAACCAAAAUAAUGCUUAUGGUAUUUUAUUGAUUGUAAUUCAAGGUACAACUUUUUGUCUACUUUUUAGUAGGAAAUUCAAAGGAAGAGAGGAUGUUCAUAGAAUUCCUUAUAUGAACAGUCGUCGACCGGAUGAGACUUUCGACACAAUAUUGUUUCAUGAAUUUCGUAACAGUUAUUAUCUAAUUACGGAGUGUUAAGAAAUUGGAAGUUCUCAAUGACACUUUUUCAAGCCUAUCUAUGAUCAAAUUUUUUAUUGUCACUGAGCCUGAGACUUUUAUUUCAUAAUAAAAUGUACAG